AGUGAACGCUGGCGGUAGACCUAACACAUGCAAGUCGAACGGCAGCACAGUAAGAGCUUGCUCUUACGGGUGGCGAGUGGCGGACGGGUGAGGAAUACAUCGGAAUCUACUUUUUCGUGGGGGAUAACGUAGGGAAACUUACGCUAAUACCGCAUACGACCUACGGGUGAAAGCAGGGGAUCUUCGGACCUUGCGCGAUUGAAUGAGCCGAUGUCGGAUUAGCUAGUUGGCGGGGUAAAGGCCCACCAAGGCGACGAUCCGUAGCUGGUCUGAGAGGAUGAUCAGCCACACUGGAACUGAGACACGGUCCAGAGGCCUACGGGAGGCAGCAGUGGGGAAUAUUGGACAAUGGGCGCAAGCCUGAUCCAGCCAUACCGCGUGGGUGAAGAAGGCGUUCGGGUUGGAAAGCCGGUUUGUUGGGAAAGAAAAGCAGCAGGUUAAUACCCCGCUGUUCUGACGGUACCUAAAGAAUAAGCACCGGCUAACUUCGUG
RNAcentral lists this ribosomal RNA (492 nucleotides) under uncultured bacterium. RNAcentral describes it as "partial 16S ribosomal RNA". It matches the Rfam family "Bacterial small subunit ribosomal RNA", at positions 29 to 507 of the family's 1533-position model. The record is from RNAcentral.